This 98-nucleotide transfer RNA is filed under the name bacterium. RNAcentral describes it as "tRNA-Sec". It matches the Rfam family "Selenocysteine transfer RNA". RNAcentral also lists the same sequence under 1 other name. The record is from RNAcentral.
GGGAAUGGAUAGGUUCUGGUGGACCUCGAGGACUUCAAAUCCUUCUGCCGGGUGCUGAAACCAUCCGGGGUGGGUUCGAUUCCCACACGUUCCCGCCA